RNAcentral lists this ribosomal RNA (381 nucleotides) under Salmonella enterica. RNAcentral's name for it is "bacterial SSU rRNA". It matches the Rfam family "Bacterial small subunit ribosomal RNA", at positions 64 to 447 of the family's 1533-position model. Lineage: Bacteria; Pseudomonadati; Pseudomonadota; Gammaproteobacteria; Enterobacterales; Enterobacteriaceae. The record is from RNAcentral.
UAACAGGAAGCAGCUUGCUGCUUCGCUGACGAGUGGCGGACGGGUGAGUAAUGUCUGGGAAACUGCCUGAUGGAGGGGGAUAACUACUGGAAACGGUGGCUAAUACCGCAUAACGUCGCAAGACCAAAGAGGGGGACCUUCGGGCCUCUUGCCAUCAGAUGUGCCCAGAUGGGAUUAGCUAGUUGGUGAGGUAACGGCUCACCAAGGCGACGAUCCCUAGCUGGUCUGAGAGGAUGACCAGCCACACUGGAACUGAGACACGGUCCAGACUCCUACGGGAGGCAGCAGUGGGGAAUAUUGCACAAUGGGCGCAAGCCUGAUGCAGCCAUGCCGCGUGUAUGAAGAAGGCCUUCGGGUUGUAAAGUACUUUCAGCGGGGAGG